RNAcentral lists this ribosomal RNA (492 nucleotides) under uncultured bacterium. RNAcentral's name for it is "bacterial SSU rRNA". It matches the Rfam family "Bacterial small subunit ribosomal RNA", at positions 791 to 1289 of the family's 1533-position model. The record is from RNAcentral.
UAGUCCACGCUGUAAACGAUGAUCACUCGUUGUUGGCAAUAAAUCGUCAGCGACUGAGCGAAAGCAUUAAGUGAUCCACCUGGGGAGUACGUUGGCAACAAUGAAACUCAAAGGAAUUGACGGGGGCCCGCACAAGCGGUGGAGCAUGUGGUUUAAUUCGAUGAUACGCGAGGAACCUUACCAGGGCUUAAAUGUAAGUUGCAUUAGCUAGAGAUAGCUAUUUCUUCGGACUACUUACAAGGUGCUGCAUGGUUGUCGUCAGCUCGUGCCGUGAGGUGUCAGGUUAAGUCCUAUAACGAGCGCAACCCCUGUUGUUAGUUGCCAGCGAGUCAAGUCGGGAACUCUAACAAGACUGCCAGUGCAAACUGUGAGGAAGGUGGGGAUGACGUCAAAUCAUCACGGCCCUUACGUCCUGGGCUACACACGUGCUACAAUGGUAGGUACAGAGAGCAGCCACAACGCGAGUUGGAGCGAAUCUAUAAAACCUAUCAC